Molecule: ribosomal RNA, 305 nt
Filed under: uncultured bacterium
Lineage: Bacteria
Description: bacterial SSU rRNA
Rfam family: Bacterial small subunit ribosomal RNA
Source: RNAcentral
GGAUCCUACGGGACGCAGCAGUAGGGAAUCUUCCACAAUGGGCGAAAGCCUGAUGGAGCAACGCCGCGUGGGUGAAGAAGGUCUUCGGAUCGUAAAACCCUGUUGUUAGAGAAGAAAGUGCGUGAGAGUAACUGUUCACGUUUCGACGGUAUCUAACCAGAAAGCCACGGCUAACUACGUGCCAGCAGCCGCGGUAAUACGUAGGGGGAAAGCGUUAUCCGGAUUUAUUGGGCGUAAAGGGUGCGUAGGCGGCCCGCUAAGUCUGGAGUGAAAGGGACCGGCUCAACCGGUACAGGCUCUGGAAA